Molecule: ribosomal RNA, 468 nt
Filed under: uncultured bacterium
Lineage: Bacteria
Description: partial 16S ribosomal RNA
Rfam family: Bacterial small subunit ribosomal RNA
Source: RNAcentral
GACGAACGCUGGCGGCGUGCUUAACACAUGCAAGUCGAACGGAAAGGCCCUGCUUUUGUGGGGUGCUCGAGUGGCGAACGGGUGAGUAACACGUGAGUAACCUGCCCUUGACUUUGGGAUAACUUCAGGAAACUGGGGCUAAUGCCGGAUAGGAGCUCCUGCUGCAUGGUGGGGGUUGGAAAGUUUCGGCGGUUGGGGAUGGACUCGCGGCUUAUCAGCUUGUUGGUGGGGUAGUGGCUUACCAAGGCUUUGACGGGUAGCCGGCCUGAGAGGGUGACCGGCCACAUUGGGACUGAGAUACGGCCCAGACUCCUACGGGAGGCAGCAGUGGGGAAUAUUGCACAAUGGGCGGAAGCCUGAUGCAGCAACGCCGCGUGCGGGAUGACGGCCUUCGGGUUGUAAACCGCUUUCGCCUGUGACGAAGCGUGAGUGACGGUAAUGGGUAAAGAAGCACCGGCUAACUACGCG